AGGUCUACCUUGAUGUAGAUAUAAUAACCCUUUUGCAGAGUGUAUGGCGAUUCUCAUUCUUUUCGGCCAUUCCAAAAUCUCAUCUUUUUCAUGUAAAUGAUCUGUCAAGGUAUCAUUGGGAACAAACUCUAAAACAAGUAAUCUAUCGGCUCCCUGAGUGCAGUGCCCAAUCAUCUUAACAAUAUUUGGGUGUUUCACACAGCUAAGGUACUCACCCUCCUCCAAUUUAUCUUCCAACUUUAUUUUUUUAAGUUUCUUGAUAGCAACCAC
RNAcentral lists this unclassified non-coding RNA (270 nucleotides) under Hevea brasiliensis (rubber tree). The record is from RNAcentral. Lineage: Eukaryota; Viridiplantae; Streptophyta; Magnoliopsida; Malpighiales; Euphorbiaceae.